GAUGAACGCUGGCGGCGUGCCUAAUACAUGCAAGUCGAGCGGACAGAUGAGGAGCUUGCUCCUCUGACGUUAGCGGCGGACGGGUGAGUAACACGUGGAUAACCUACCUAUAAGACUGGGAUAACUUCGGGAAACCGGAGCUAAUACCGGAUAAUAUAUUGAACCGCAUGGUUCAAUAGUGAAAGACGGUUUUGCUGUCACUUAUAGAUGGAUCCGCGCCGCAUUAGCUAGUUGGUAAGGUAACGGCUUACCAAGGCAACGAUGCGUAGCCGACCUGAGAGGGGGAUCGGCCACACUGGAACUGAGACACGGUCCAGACUCCUACGGGAGGCAGCAGUAGGGAAUCUUCCGCAAUGGGCGAAAGCCUGACGGAGCAACGCCGCGUGAGUGAUGAAGGUCUUCGGAUCGUAAAACUCUGUUAUUAGGGAAGAACAAAUGUGUAAGUAACUAUGCCCGUCUUGACGGUACCUAAUCAGAAAGCCACGGCUAACUACGUG
This 497-nucleotide ribosomal RNA is filed under the name uncultured bacterium. Its description in RNAcentral is "partial 16S ribosomal RNA". It matches the Rfam family "Bacterial small subunit ribosomal RNA", at positions 28 to 507 of the family's 1533-position model. The record is from RNAcentral.